RNAcentral lists this small RNA (28 nucleotides) under Bombyx mori (domestic silkworm). RNAcentral describes it as "ovarian small RNA-12504". Lineage: Eukaryota; Metazoa; Arthropoda; Insecta; Lepidoptera; Bombycidae. The record is from RNAcentral.
AUCGGUGCCUCAGUGGUAGAAUGCUCGC